UGCAAGUCGAACGAACUCUGGUAUUGAUUGGUGCUUGCAUCAUGAUUUACAUUUGAGUGAGUGGCGAACUGGUGAGUAACACGUGGGAAACCUGCCCAGAAGCGGGGGAUAACACCUGGAAACAGAUGCUAAUACCGCAUAACAACUUGGACCGCAUGGUCCGAGUUUGAAAGAUGGCUUCGGCUAUCACUUUUGGAUGGUCCCGCGGCGUAUUAGCUAGAUGGUGGGGUAACGGCUCACCAUGGCAAUGAUACGUAGCCGACCUGAGAGGGUAAUCGGCCACAUUGGGACUGAGACACGGCCCAAACUCCUACGGGAGGCAGCAGUAGGGAAUCUUCCACAAUGGACGAAAGUCUGAUGGAGCAACGCCGCGUGAGUGAAGAAGGGUUUCGGCUCGUAAAACUCUGUUGUUAAAGAAGAACAUAUCUGAGAGUAACUGUUCAGGUAUUGACGGUAUUUAACCAGAAAGCCACGGCUAACUACGUGCCAGCAGCCGCGGUAAUACGUAGGUGGCAAGCGUUGUCCGGAUUUAUUGGGCGUAAAGCGAGCGCAGGCGGUUUUUUAAGUCUGAUGUGAAAGCCUUCGGCUCAACCGAAGAAGUGCAUCGGAAACUGGGAAACUUGAGUGCAGAAGAGGACAGUGGAACUCCAUGUGUAGCGGUGAAAUGCGUAGAUAUAUGGAAGAACACCAGUGGCGAAGGCGGCUGUCUGGCUGUAACUGACGCUGAGGCUCGAAA
RNAcentral lists this ribosomal RNA (736 nucleotides) under Lactiplantibacillus plantarum. RNAcentral describes it as "bacterial SSU rRNA". It matches the Rfam family "Bacterial small subunit ribosomal RNA", at positions 56 to 758 of the family's 1533-position model. The record is from RNAcentral. Lineage: Bacteria; Bacillati; Bacillota; Bacilli; Lactobacillales; Lactobacillaceae.